This 206-nucleotide unclassified non-coding RNA is filed under the name uncultured Trechispora. RNAcentral describes it as "sequence contains ITS2". Lineage: Eukaryota; Fungi; Basidiomycota; Agaricomycetes; Polyporales; Polyporaceae. The record is from RNAcentral.
AGUCAUCAACCCCUCCCGUUUUGUGCGGGAGGAAGGUUGGAGAUGGGGGCCUGCGACCGCAAGGCCGCUCCCCUCAAAUGCUUCGGUUGGGCCUGUGGGUCGAACUCGGUUGGGCGUUGUACCAUCCUCGCUCUUUGUCCGAGAAGUUCCCCUUUGAUUGAGCCCUCCCACGACCGCCUUUCCAGAGGUGGUCAAUUUAAUUUGAA